RNAcentral lists this unclassified non-coding RNA (326 nucleotides) under uncultured Verticillium. RNAcentral's name for it is "sequence contains ITS1". The stretch from base 1 to 105 matches the Rfam family "5.8S ribosomal RNA", at positions 50 to 154 of the family's 154-position model. The record is from RNAcentral. Lineage: Eukaryota; Fungi; Ascomycota; Sordariomycetes; Hypocreales.
GAAAUGCGAUAAGUAAUGUGAAUUGCAGAAUUCAGUGAAUCAUCGAAUCUUUGAACGCACAUUGCGCCCGCCAGCAUUCUGGCGGGCAUGCCUGUUCGAGCGUCAUUUCAACCCUCGAGCCCGACUCUUUUGAGGACGGCUCGGCGUUGGGGGACGGCAGACUCCCCCCGGCAUCUCGCCGGGGACGCCGCCCCCGAAAUCUAGUGGCGGCCCUCCGAGGCGACCUCUGCGUAGUAACUUGUUCUCGCACCGGAAAGCUCAGAGCGGCCACGCCGUAAAACCCCAACUCUGGCCUCAAAUCAGGUAGGACUACCCGCUGAACUUAA